Long non-coding RNA from Lampris incognitus (smalleye Pacific opah), 393 nucleotides. RefSeq lists it as uncharacterized. The transcript is spliced from 3 exons. Lineage: Eukaryota; Metazoa; Chordata; Actinopteri; Lampriformes; Lampridae. The record is from RefSeq and is a predicted model, not a curated record.
CCAAUGGCCACCAGCGGACACACAGCUUGUUGUCAUCUAGAUUCCACAGCCUUGAAGGAAUGUCUGGAUCCAGUACCAACUACAUUCCUCCUGAGCAGGCUGGCUUUGCCUGUUGUUUGUACCAGGCAGUGUGGCCAGAUCAGAUGUGGGCCAACGCAGUGCGAUGUUCCCUGCUCAGCUCGUCUUGUCUCAUCUCAUCUCAUCUCAUCUCAUCUCAUCUCAUCUCGUCUCGUCUCAUCUCAUCUCAUCUCAUCUCGUCAUGUGAUAGGAAAAUCCACCUCAAAAUAAUGUCACCAGCAUCCAUUUAAUCCUUGAGGACAGACACGAGGACUAAAGCCGCCGUCUACACGUCUAUACUAUAUGGCCGCCUGAGUAAAGCAUGCUAGAAAUCAG